CCCUGCUGCUGGAGGCCUCCCGCGCCCCCCGACCCCCGGCCCGGCUCCUGGCUGCCCUCCGUGUGCCCCCCCCCGGGCCCCGUGUGCUGCCCGUCCUGCGCCGUUACUUCCCGGCUGAGUGCCGUCUGAGACCCCUCCCCGGGGUCCCACUGCGGGUGAACGUCCGCCUCGUCCUGCCCGGAUCGGUGCCGCGGGGAUGGAGGCUGCGCUUCGAGCCCCACGGGGGGCUGAACGUCACCCCCGGGCCUGGGGACGGCGAUGGGGACGAGGAUGAGGACGGAGAUGGCAGUGGGGAUGAAGGCUGAGGGUGAGUCGGGUGGUGAUGUGCAGCCCUCGGGUGUUGUGGUGUCACUGAGCCUGGCUGGUGUGGAGCCCAGGUGAUGUGGAGCCCAGGUGACACGGGGACGUGGAGCUGCCCGGUGACACGGUGACAUGGAGCACAGGUGACGUGGAGCCCAGGUGACAUGGUGACAUGAAGCCCAGGUGACACGGUGACAUGGAGCCCCAGUGACGUGGAGCUCACAUGACACAGUGCCAUGGAGCCCAGGUGAUGUGGAGCCCAGGUGACACGGUGACAUGGAGCUGCCCGGUGACAUGGAGCCCACAUGAGACAGUGACACGGAGCCCAUGUGACACAGUGACACGGAGCCCAGGUGAUGUGGAGCCCAUGUGACAUGGUGACAUGGAACUGCCCGGUGACACGGUGACAUGGAGCCCAGGUGACAGGGAGCCCACAUGACUCAGUGACAUGGAACCCAGGUGACACAGUGUCAUGGAGCCCAGGUGACAUGGAGCCCAGGUGACACGGUGACAUGGAGCUGCCCGGUGACAUGGAGCCCACAUGAGACAGUGACACGGAGCCCAGGUGAUGUGGAGCCCAGGUGACACAGUGACAUGGAGCCCAGGUGAUGUGGGGCCUGGGUGACACGGUGACGUAGAGCUGCCCAUGUGACAUGAAGCCCAGGUGAUGUGGAGCCCACAUGACACAAUGACAUGGAGCCCAGGUGAUGUGGAGCCCAGGUGACACGGUGACAUGGAGCUGCCAGGUGACAUGGAGCCCAGGUGACACGGUGACAUGGAGCCCAGGUGAUGUGGAGCCCAGGUGACACGGUGACAUGGAACUGCCCGGUGACACGGUGACAUGGAGCCCAGGUGACAUGGAGCCCACAUGACUCAGUGACACGGAACCCAGGUGACACAGUGACAUGGAGCCCAGGUGAUGUGGAGCCCAGGUGACACGGUGACAUGGUGACACAGUGUCAUAGAGCCCAGGUGACGUGGAGCCCAGGUGACACGGUGACAUGGAGCUGCCAGGUGACAUGGAGCCCAGGUGAUGUGGAGCCCAGGUGACACGGUGAUAUGGAGCUGCCCGGUGACAUGGAGCCCACAUGAGACAGUGACACGGAGCCCAGGUGAUGUGGAGCCCAGGUGACACAGUGACAUGGAGCCCAGGUGAUGUGGGGCCUGGGUGACACGGUGACAUAGAGCUGCCCAUGUGACAUGAAGCCCAGGUGAUGUGGAGCCCAUGUGACACAGUGACAUGGAGCUGCCAGGUGACAUGGAGCCCAGGUGACACGGUGACAUGGAGCCCAGGUGAUGUGGAGCCCAGGUGACACGGUGACAUGGAACUGCCCGGUGACACGGUGACAUGGAGCCCAGGUGACGUGGAGCCCAGGUGACAUGGUGACAUGAAGCCCAGGUGACACGGUGACAUGGAGCCCCAGUGAUGUGGAGCCCAGGUGACACGGUGACAUGGAGCAGAGGUGAUGUGGAGCCCAGGUGACACAGUGACAUGGAGCCCGGGUGAUGUGGAGUCCAGGUGACACGGAACCGAGGUGACAUGGGGUCUGCAUGGCACAGUGACACGGAGCCUGGGUGACACUGUGGCGUGGGACCCAGGUGACAGGGAACCAAGGUGACACAGAACCUGAGUGACACAGACCCAAAUGGCACGGAACCCAGGUGACACAGAACCCAGGUGACAUGGAGCCCUGGUGACAUGGGACCGGGUGACACAAUGCCUAUGUGUCAUGGAACCCACGCGACAUGGAACCCAGGUGACACGGAACCCGAGUGCUAUGGAACCCAGGGGACGCAAUGCCUGUGUGACACAGAACCCGGGUGACAUGGAAUGCAGGUGACAGAGUCUGUGCGGCACGACACGGAGCCUGGGUGACACUGUGACACGGAACACAGGUGACACGGAACACAGGUGACAUGGAACCCAGAUGGCACAGUGCCUAUAUGACAUGGAACCCAGGUGACACGGAACCCAGAUGUCACAGAACCCAGGUGACACAGUGCCUAUAUGACACAGAACCCAGGUGACACAGAACCCAGGUGACAUGGAACCCAGGUGACACAGAACCCCGGUGACAUGGAACCCAGGUGACACGGAACCCACGUCACAGUGCCUAUACGACACGGAACCCCGGUGACACAGAACCCAGGUGACACGGAACCCAGGUGACACAGUGCCUAUAUGACACAGAACCCAGGUGACACAGAACCCAGGUGACACAGUGCCCAGGUGACACAGUGCCUAUAUGACAUGGAACCCAGGUGGCACAAUGACACGGAACCCAGGUGACACAGUGCCUAUACGACACGGAACCCAGGUGACACGGAACCCAGGUGACACGGAACCCACGUCACAGUGCCUAUACGACACGGAACCAAGGUGACACGGAACCCAGGUGACACGGAACCCAGGUGACACAGUGCCUAUACGACACGGAACCCAGGUGACACAGAACCCAGGUGACACGGGACCCACGUCACAGUGCCUAUACGACACGGAACCGAGGUGACACAGAACCCAGGUGACACAGAACCCCGGUGACAUGGAACCCAGGUGACACGGAACCCACGUCACAGUGCCUAUACGACACGGAACCAAGGUGACAUGGGACCCAGAUGUCACAGUGCCUAUACGACACGGAACCGAGGUGCCACGAGCCCCCGUGCCGCACUGCUGGUGUCCGGAGGUGUCCGGAGGUGUCCGGAGGUGCCAGGAGGCGACACGAGCGGACAGCCCACGUUAUCAGUGCCCUCACAGCCACCCCCCUCCCCCCCCCCGACACCCACAGCGUGGGGCUGAGCGCGUGCUGUGCCCCCCCCCGGCCCUGGGGGCUCUGAUAAGGCCUUAUCACCGCCCCCACCCCACCCCACCCCCCCCCGAGGCGCUGCGUGCGCUCACGAGUGCUUUAUUGUAUAAAACAGUGGCAAACCAACACGAGUGGCCCCAAUUCGGCGUAUGGACAUUGGGGGGGGGGGGGGGGGUGGGACGGGACCACCCCCACAACCCCGCUGUGUCCCCACGUGACGUCACUGCGACGUGUCCCCUCCGUCCCCGUGUCGUGGUGAGUCCACGUGACGUCACUAUGACGCGUCACCUCCAUCCUCGUGUCGUGGUGAGUCCACGUGACGUCACUAUGACGCGUUACCUCCAUACUCGUGUCGUGGUGAGUCCAUGUGAUGUCACUAUGAGUCCAUGUGACAUCACUACAGUGUGUCAUCUCCAUCCUCGUGUCAUGGUGAGUCCAUGUGACGUCACUACGACGUGUCCCCUCCAUCAAUGUGUCACAGUGUGACAUACCCUCGUGUCGUGGUGAGUCCACGUGACAUCACUAUGACGCGUCACCUCCAUCCUCGUGUCGUGGUGAGUCUCCUCCAUCCAUGUGUCCACAGUGUGACACGUCCUCGUGUCAUGGUGAGUCCACGUGAUGUCACUGUGUGUCCAUGUGACAUCACUGUGACUUCUCCCCUCCAUCCUUGUGUCGUGGUGAGUCCAUGUGACAUCACUAUGACGUGUCGCCUCCAUCCAUGUGUCACGGUGUGACACAUCCUCGUGUCAUUGUGAGUCCACGUGACAUCACUGUGACGUGUCCCCUCCGUCCCCGUGUCGUGGUGAGUCCACGUGACGUCACUAUGACGCGUCACCUCCAUCCUCGUGUCGUGGUGAGUCCCCUCCGUCCAUGUGUCACAGUGUGACACGUCCUCGAGUGUUGUGAUGAGUCCACGUGACAUCACUAUGACACGUCACCUCCAUCCAUGUGUCACAGUGUGACACGUCCUCGUGUCAUGGUGAGUCCACGUGAUGUCACUAUGAGUCCACGUGACAUCACUACAGUGUGUCACCUUCAUCCUCGUGUCGUGGUGUGACACGUCCUCGUGUCAUGGUGAGUCCACGUGACAUCACUACGAUGUGUCCCCCUCAUCCUCGUGUCAUGGUGAGUCCACGUGAUGUCACUGUGAGUCCAUGUGACAUCACUACAGUGUGUCCCCUCCAUCCUUGUGUCGUGGUGAGUCCACGUGACGUCACUAUGACGCGUCACCUCCAUCCUCGUGUCGUGGUGAGUCCCCUCCGUCCAUGUGUCACAGUGUGACAUGUCCUCGUGUCAUGGUGAGUCCACGUGACAUCACUACGAUGUGUCCCCAUCAUCCUCGUGUCAUGGUGAGUCCACGUGAUGUCACUGUGAGUCCAUGUGACAUCACUAUAGUGUGUCACCUCCAUCCUCGUGUCAUGGUGAGUCCACGUGACGUCACUA
Long non-coding RNA from Gallus gallus (chicken), 4550 nucleotides. The record is from Ensembl. Lineage: Eukaryota; Metazoa; Chordata; Aves; Galliformes; Phasianidae.